UACGUAGGUGGCGAGCGUUGUCCGGAUUUACUGGGCGUAAAGAGCGCGCAGGCGGUUCCGCAAGUCAGGCGUGAAAUCCCCGGGCUUAACCUGGGAAUGGCGCUUGAAACUACGGGACUGGAGUAUGGCAGAGGGAGGUGGAAUUCCACGUGUAGCGGUGAAAUGCGUAGAGAUGUGGAGGAACACCGAUGGCGAAGGCAGCCUCCUGGGCCAAUACUGACGCUCAUGCACGAAAGCGUGGGGAGCAAACAGG
RNAcentral lists this ribosomal RNA (253 nucleotides) under uncultured bacterium. RNAcentral describes it as "partial 16S ribosomal RNA". It matches the Rfam family "Bacterial small subunit ribosomal RNA", at positions 524 to 776 of the family's 1533-position model. The record is from RNAcentral.